RNAcentral lists this ribosomal RNA (1234 nucleotides) under Olisthonema eestii. Its description in RNAcentral is "16S ribosomal RNA". It matches the Rfam family "Bacterial small subunit ribosomal RNA", at positions 96 to 1361 of the family's 1533-position model. Lineage: Bacteria; Bacillati; Cyanobacteriota; Cyanophyceae; Coleofasciculales; Coleofasciculaceae. The record is from RNAcentral.
UGGCGGACGGGUGAGUAACGCGUAAGAAUCUAACCUUUUGUUCGGGACAACAGUUGGAAACGACUGCUAAUACCGGAUGUGCCUACGGGUGAAAGGCUUGCUGCCUGGAGAAGAGCUUGCGUCCGAUUAGCUAGUUGGUGAGGUAAUGGCUUACCAAGGCAUCGAUCGGUAGCUGGUCUGAACGAUACCAGCCACACUGGGACUGAGACAGGCCCAGACUCCUACGGGAGGCAGCAGUGGGGAAUUUUCCCGCAUGGGCGAAAGCCUGACGGGACAAUACCGCGUGAGGGAAGAAGGCUCUUGGGUUGGAGACCUCUUUUCUCAGGGAAAUUAAAAAAAUGAAUGUACCUGAAGAAUAAGCAUCGUCUAACUCCGCGCCAACAGCCGCGGUAAUACGGAGGAUGCAAGCGUUAUCCGGAAUGAGUGCGCAUAACGCCCCCGCGUGUGUUUCAACGUCUCUAGUGUCAAAGAGCGGGUCUUACCUCCGGGGUGGCGGUAAAAACUGUUAAACUAGAGGGUCGUAGGGGUAGAGAAAAUUCGCUGUGUAGCGGAGAUGUGCAUAGAGAUUGGGAAGAACAUCGGUGGCGAAGGCGCUCUACUGGACGGCAACUGACGCUCAGGGACGAAAGGGGCUAGGGGAGCGAAUGGGAUUAGAUACCCCAGUAGUCCUAGCCGUAAACGAUGGAUACUGGGUGUGGCUUGUAACAAAACGAGCCGUGCCGUAGCUAACGCGUUAAGUAUCCCGCCUGGGGAGUACGCUCGCAAGAAUGAAACUCAAAGGAAGUGACGGGGGCCCGCACAAGCGGUGGAGUAUGUGGUUUAAUUCGAUGCAACGCGAAGAAGCUUACCAAGACUUGAAAUGUUGCGAAUCUCCUUGAAAGGGGAGAGUGCCUUCGGGAGCGCAAACACAGGUGGUGCAUGGCUGUCGUCAGCGCGUGUCGUGAGAUGUUGGGGUAAGUCCCGCAACGCGCGCAACCCUCAUGUUAGGUUGCCAAUAUUAAGUUGGGCACUCUAGACAGACUGCCGGUGACAAACCGGAGGAAGGUGGGGAUGACGUCAACUCAGCAUGCCCCUUACGUCUUGGGCUACACACGUACUACAAUGGUAAGGACAAAGGGAAGCGAAGCUGCGAAGUGAAGCAAAUCCCAUCAAACUUUACCACAGUUCAGAUCGUAGGCUGCAACUCGCCUACGUGAAGGAGGAAUCGCUAGUAAUCGCAGGUCAGCAUACUGCG